GCAGUAGCCACGGGAAUACGAAGGGUGCAAGCGUUACUCGGAAUUACUGGGCGUAAAGCGUGCGUAGGUGGUGGUUUAAGUCCGUUGUGAAAGCCCUGGGCUCAACCUGGGAAUUGCAGUGGAUACUGGGUCACUAGAGUGUGGUAGAGGAUAGUGGAAUUUCCGGUGUAGCAGUGAAAUGCGUAGAGAUCGGAAGGAACAUCUGUGGCGAAGGCGACUAUCUGGGCCAACACUGACACUGAGGCACGAAAGCGUGGGGAGCAAACAGGAUUAGAUACCCCCGUAGUCCCUGUCUCUUAUAC
This 302-nucleotide ribosomal RNA is filed under the name uncultured bacterium. RNAcentral's name for it is "partial 16S ribosomal RNA". It matches the Rfam family "Bacterial small subunit ribosomal RNA", at positions 508 to 807 of the family's 1533-position model. The record is from RNAcentral.